Molecule: long non-coding RNA, 630 nt
Organism: Passer domesticus (house sparrow)
Lineage: Eukaryota; Metazoa; Chordata; Aves; Passeriformes; Passeridae
Exons: 4
Source: RefSeq, a predicted model, not a curated record
ACUGUAAAGAGAGAACCUCCUGUUUCAAGCCUGCAACACCUUAUUCAAUGCAAGUUGAAAUGUUUAGUUUUGAAGUAAGAAAAAAAAACAACUACCAAUCAUUCCCUGUACUAAAAUUGAUCCCACUUCUUGGUUUGCUUGGGAUUAAUGGCAGAAGCUUAAAGUCACCAUUUGUCAAGAGGGUCACCUGGCUUCUUCAGUCUGCAGAUACCUGUGAAGGUGCUUCAGCUGAAAGUUGAGAGGGAAGUCGGUGGCUCAGGAGAAGAGUGGUUGGCACCACCAAGAAGAGCCUGGAUUUGAGGAGCUGACAAAAGGAUUUUUGCUUCUCAUUACUGAAAUACAUCCACACCUGUGCGUGAUGUACUGGCUAAGCCUAGAAGCAGGAGUCCCAGCAGAUCCCUGGAGGGGAAAUACUUUUAUAAGGAUAAGGGGCUAAAGGCCAACUUUUCAAAGGCAGAAGAGAGGUUUCCAGAACAGCUGUGACACAGAGGAUCCCUCAGAGAGGCACAGAGAGCACAGAAGAUGCUUACCUUUCUCUUAUCCCAGGAUGUGAUUAAACUGUGUUGGGUGGGAAAUGUGAGGGAGCCUCAGAAAUGUCAUUUGUAGGAAAUACAGCUUGAGUCCUGGGCU